This 2903-nucleotide ribosomal RNA is filed under the name Capsicum chinense (habanero). RNAcentral describes it as "bacterial LSU rRNA". The stretch from base 336 to 2903 matches the Rfam family "Eukaryotic large subunit ribosomal RNA". The record is from RNAcentral. Lineage: Eukaryota; Viridiplantae; Streptophyta; Magnoliopsida; Solanales; Solanaceae.
AUAUGCUUGUCUCAAAGAUUAAGCCAUGCAUGUGUAAGUAUGAACAAAUUCAGACUGUGAAACUGCGAAUGGCUUAUUAAAUCAGUUAUAGUUUGUUUAAUGGUAUUUAUUACUCAGAUAACCGUAGUAGUUCUAGAGCUAAUAUGUGCAACAAACCCCAACAUCUGGAAGGAAUGCAUUUAUUAGAUAAAAGGUUGAUGCGGGCUCUGCCCAUUGCUGCGAUAAUUCAUGAUAACUCGACGGAUCGCACGACCAUCGUAUCGGCGACACAUCAUUUAAAUUUCUGCCCUAUCAAAUUUCGUAAUGAUAUAGGAUUUCGGUCCUAUUACGUUGGCCUUCGAGAUCGGAGUAAUGAUUAACAGGGACAGUCGGGGGCAUUUGUAUUUCAUAGUCAGAGGUGAAAUUCUUGUAUUCAUGAAAGACGAAUAACUGCGAGGAUGGCCCAGUCCCCUAGAAGGAAGUGCCAGAGAGGGUGAGAGCCCCGUUGUGCCCGGACCCCAUCGCACCAUGAGUCCCUCUCUACGAGUUAGGUUAUUUGGGAAUGCAUUCCAAAUCGGGCGGUGAAUUCCAUCCAAGGCUAAAUACGGGCGAAAGACCGAUACCAAAAAAGUACCGCGAGGGAAAGAUGAAAAGGACUUUGAAAAAAACGUCAAAGAGUGCUUAAAAUGGUCGGGAGGGAAGCGGAUGAGGGCCGGCGAUGUGCCCCGGUCGGAUGUGGAACGGCGACGAGACGGUCCGCUGAUCAACUCGGGGUGUGGACCAAACUGUGCGCUAACCUAGAUCCCACAAAGGGUGUUGGUCGAUUAAGACAGCAGGACGGUGGUCAUAGAAGUCGAAAUCCGCUAAGGAGUGUGUAAUAACUCACUUGCCGAAUCAACUAGCCCCAAAAAUGGAUGACACUUAAGUGCGCGACCUGCACCCGGCCGUCGGGGCAAGUGCCAGGCCCCGAUGACUAGGAGGGUGCGGCGAUCGCUGCAAAACCUUGGACGCGAGCUCGAGCGGAGCGGCCGUCGGUGCAGACCUUGGUGGUAGUAGAAAAUAUUCAAAUGAGAACUUUGAAGGCUGAAGAGGGGAAAGGUUCCAUGUGAACGACACUUGCAUAUGGGUUAUUCGAUCCUAAGGGUCUGGGGAACCCCGACAGAUAGCGCGUACUCCGAAAGAGAAUCGGGUUAAAACUCCCUAACCGAGAUGUGGCGGUCGACGGCAAUGUCAGAAAGUCCGGAGACAUCGGCAGGAGCCUUGGGAAGAGUUAUCUUUUCUGUUUAACAGCCUGCCUACCCUGGAAUCGGCUCGGCCGGAGGUAGGCUCCAGCGGCUGGAAGAGCACCGCACGUCGCGUGGUGUCCGGUGCGCUCCCGGCGGCCCUUGAAAAUCCGGAGGACCGAAUGCCGUCCACGCCCGGNAUCCAGAGAACCGAAUGCCGUCCACUAAUGGUCGUACUCAUAACCGCAUUAGGUUUCCAAGGUGAACAACCUCUGGUCGAUGGAAUAAUGUAGGCAGGGGAUAUCGGCCAAAUAGAUCCGUAACUUUGGGAAAAAGAUUGGCUCUGAGGGCUGGGCAUGAGGGUACCAGUCCCGAACCCAUCGGCUAUUGGUGGAUUGCUUGAUCUGCUUCCACGGUGAGAGAGAGUUGCCCCGUGCCAGUCGGGGAACGGUUCCUUCGGGGGCCUUCCCUGCGCAUUGAAUAGCCAACUCAAAACUGGUAUGGACAAGGAGAAUCCAACUGUUUAAUUAAAACAAAGCAUUGCGAUGGUCCCAACAGAUGUUCACGCAAUGUGAUUUCUUCCCAGUGCUCUGAAUGUCAAAGUGAAGAAGUUCAACCAAGCGCUGGUAAACGGCGGGAGCAACUAUGACUCUCUUAAGGUAGCCAAAUGCCUAGUCAUCCACUUAGUGAUGCACAUGAAUGGAUUAACAAGAUUCCCACUGUCCCUGUCUACUAUCCAGCGAAACCACAACCAAGGGAACGGGCAUGGCAGAAUCAGCAGGGAAAGAAAAACCUGUUGAGCUAGACUCUAGUCUGACUUUAUGAAAUGACUUGAGAGGUGUAGUAUAAGUGGGAGCUGAAAGGCGAAUGUGAAAUACCACUACUUUUCACAUUAUUUUACUUAUUCCGUGAAUGGUAAGCGGGGCACUGCCCCUCUUUUUGGACUCAAGGCUCGCUCUGCGGGCCAAUUCGAGCGAAAGACAUUGUUAGGUGGGGAGUUUGGCUGGGGCGGCACAUCUAUUAAAAGAUAACACAGGUGUCCUAAGAUGAGCUCAACGAGAAAAUAAAUCUCGUAUGGAACAGAAGGGUAAAAGCUCGUUUGAUUCUGAUUUCCAGUUCGAAUACAAACUGUGAAAGCGUGGCCUAACGAUCUUUUAGAACUUUGAAAUUCGAAUCUAGAGGUGUCAAAAAAGUUACCACAGGGAUAACUGGCUUGUGGCAGCCAAGCGUUCAAAGCGAAGUUGCUUUUUGAUCCUUUGAUGUCGGCUAUUCCUAGCAUUGUAAAGCAGAAUUCACCAAGUUUUGGAUUGUUCACCCACCAAUAGGGAACGUGAGCUGGGUUUAGACCAUUGGGAGACAGGUUAGUUUUACCCUACUGAUGACAGUGUCGAAGUAGUAAUUCAACCUAGUACGAGAGAAACCAUUGAUUCACACAAUUGGCCAUCGCACUUGGUUGAAAAGCCAGUAGCGCGAAGCUACCGUGUGCUGGAUUAUAACUGAACCCCUCUAAAUCAGAAUUCAGGCUAGAAGCGACACAUACGCCCGCUGUCCUCUUGCCGACCCACAGUAGGGGCCUCAGCCCCCAAGGGCAUGUGUCGUUGGCUAAGCCACCAUGGCGGAAGGGUCGGGGUGGCCACUUUGAAGUACAAUUUCCAUCGAGCGGCGGGUAGAAUCCUUUCCAGAUGACUUAAAUACACGAUG